UAUAAAAUCAUACGCUGCUCUCAUAUAUUUUCGGGGAUAUGGCCUGAAAGUUUCUACCCGGUACCGUAAAUGCCGGACUAUGAGGGAGGAUGGAAUCUCG
RNAcentral lists this non-coding RNA (100 nucleotides) under Lentibacillus amyloliquefaciens. RNAcentral's name for it is "Guanine sequence". It matches the Rfam family "Purine riboswitch aptamer". From Rfam's summary of the family: Riboswitches are metabolite binding domains within certain messenger RNAs that serve as precision sensors for their corresponding targets. Allosteric rearrangement of mRNA structure is mediated by ligand binding, and this results in modulation of gene expression. Lineage: Bacteria; Bacillati; Bacillota; Bacilli; Caryophanales; Bacillaceae. The record is from Rfam by way of RNAcentral.